GUGGGGAAUAUUGGACAAUGGGGGGCAACCCUGAUCCAGCAAUGCCGCGUGUGUGAAGAAGGUCUUCGGAUUGUAAAGCACUUUCGACGGGGACGAUGAUGACGGUACCCGUAGAAGAAGCCCCGGCUAACUUCGUGCCAGCAGCCGCGGUAAUACGAAGGGGGCUAGCGUUGCUCGGAAUGACUGGGCGUAAGGGCGUGUAGGCGGUUUACACAGUCAGAUGUGAAAAU
This 230-nucleotide ribosomal RNA is filed under the name uncultured bacterium. Its description in RNAcentral is "partial 16S ribosomal RNA". It matches the Rfam family "Bacterial small subunit ribosomal RNA", at positions 354 to 601 of the family's 1533-position model. The record is from RNAcentral.